This 112-nucleotide microRNA precursor is filed under the name Capsella rubella. RNAcentral's name for it is "mir-172 microRNA precursor family". It matches the Rfam family "mir-172 microRNA precursor family". Rfam says of the family: mir-172 has been experimentally verified in Arabidopsis thaliana. The record is from Rfam by way of RNAcentral. Lineage: Eukaryota; Viridiplantae; Streptophyta; Magnoliopsida; Brassicales; Brassicaceae.
UUGUUUGCUGCUGUGGCAUCAUCAAGAUUCACAUCUCUGUUUGAUGAACGGUGGUGAUUCACUCUCCUCUCUGUGAAAAUGAGAAUCUUGAUGAUGCUGCAUCGGCCAUCAA